AGUGAACGCUGGCGGUAGGCCUAACACAUGCAAGUCGAACGGCAGCACAGUAAGAGCUUGCUCUUACGGGUGGCGAGUGACGGACGGGUGAGGAAUACAUCGGAAUCUACUUUUUCGUGGGGGAUAACGUAGGGAAACUUACGCUAAUACCGCAUACGACCUACGGGUGAAAGCAGGGGAUCUUCGGACCUUGCGCGAUUGAAUGAGCCGAUGUCGGAUUAGCUAGUUGGCGGGGUAAAGGCCCACCAAGGCGACGAUCCGUAGCUGGUCUGAGAGGAUGAUCAGCCACACUGGAACUGAGACACGGUCCAGACUCCUACGGGAGGCAGCAGUGGGGAAUAUUGGACAAUGGGCGCAAGCCUGAUCCAGCCAUACCGCGUGGGUGAAGAAGGCCUUCGGGUUGUAAAGCCCUUUUGUUGGGAAAGAAAAGCAGCAGGUUAAGACCCCGCUGUUCUGACGGUACCCAAAGAAUAAGCACCGGCUAACUUCGU
Molecule: ribosomal RNA, 491 nt
Filed under: uncultured bacterium
Lineage: Bacteria
Description: partial 16S ribosomal RNA
Rfam family: Bacterial small subunit ribosomal RNA
Source: RNAcentral